UUCUCAAAUAGUGUCUCCCCUGUAAAGCAAUUCCAGUAGAUGUAAUCUCUACAAACUUUUCACAGUUGCAAUGGUUAUCUUCAGUAUUAUGUAAAAGCUAUUUUGAGGCUUGUCUUCUUCCUUUUGUUAGAAUCUUGCAAAUUCUCUGAAGCCCAGACUUUAAGUUAUUCAUCUUUGCAUCCUCCAUUAUACCUAUCACAGAACUUAAGUACAAUAGGACCUCAGCCAGUGUUCCAGGAAAUAAAUUAAAUUGAAUGAAAUUUCCAUACAGUGAUAAGAAGGAGAUUACUGCUGCCCACGGGGAAAAAGGAGAACAGAAAUGGGAAAGCCGUAUUGAGAGGAUGUUUGAGAACUGUGAAAGACAGAAAGCAGACCAGAUUGCCAUGCCUAAACCACUUUCUUUGAAGUUUAUGGAAGCACCACUGCAUUUAUGCCAGAAGGUGAAAGUCCAGAACAGGUGCUUUUUGGUUUGAGAAUGAGUGUUCUACAUACUGGCCUGUAAGGCAGUGCUACUCCAAGUGUGGUCCACAGGCUGGCAGCAACAUCAUAGGGGAGUAUGUUAACAAUGCUGAUUCUCCAGCCCCAGCUCCGGACUCUGUUUUAACGGUCUAUCCAGGCAUGAAUUCUACUCAAGUGGCCUGCCCCUCAGCAGAAGUUGGACAGGUGCUUAUGUUGCAAUUAACAAAAAGGAUACAUGCUGGGUCCUGCAGUAAAUGUCUCCCUUGGAUCAUGAAGUCUUUUUACCAUGUUACUGGAACACAGAAGGGUACUAUUGAGAACCAACUAACUUGGAGCCGUGUAUGAGCCACUGGGAAUAGACUAAAUGAGAUAAUCAACGUCUUGAUCUCAUAUUCUUUCAUUCUACAGAAGGAAGCAGGCAACAGGUUGCAAUACGAAGUGGAGUUAAAGCAACUAGAAGGAAGUGUCAGUAACCAAGCUGAGAGAGGCUGGAAGGAAAACAAUUCAUGCAGCAGAAAAGAAAGCCUUUUGAGCACUGUGAUGUCAGAAGGUGACUUGGAAGAUGAUCUAAAUGUUAAACUGGCAGUGAAGAGUGCCACAUCAUUGUUAUUCCCCCAAGAUCCUGGAUUCCAGACAGCCCAGUGGAGCACCAUAGAAAGAACUUUCAGGAAGCAGAGAAUGGUUCAGGGAUUCUGAUUUUCCUGAACUUCCUCCUCCCUAUCCACCUCCAAUUAGGAAAAAAGAAGAAAAAAAAGAUUAAACACGUCCAGAAUGUUAAAAAUCCAGUAGGGAUUUUAAAUGUUCACUAUUACAGCACAUACAUUUAUACACAAGGAGGUCUGAAGGCUUUCUGGUUUCAAUUAAGAUUAUUAUCUCCUUUGAGUGAUGGUUUCUCCUUUUUUCCCCCAGAAUUCCCUUUGGCUGAUCUAUUUUAAAAGAGUAUGAGCUAGGGAUAACUAGGCUUAUUUGUAUUGAGUCUACUUUCCCCUCCAGGUCUCUUUGUCUUAAAUUCUGAAGUCCCUUUUCCUAUCCUGCUAAAGGUUAGCAGCUUGAAAUCAAGGACAUGAGUCAUUGUUACUUUUCAUGUGGAAGAUAAGCUCUGUGGCUUUUAUAGCAAAAAGUAUAUACAAUUCUAAAAUUAAAGUGCAAGUCAGAAAGGCCAUUGGGGCUGUGAAAAGUCCUUAUCUAAAUCAGAAGACCAAGGUCAAGUUUGUAUCAUGCCUAUUAGUACAUGGGUUUCAUUGGUUAAGUUACCAAACCUCUGAGCCUCAGUUUCCUUAUCAGUCAAAUGAGUGCAAUAAUUCCCGCCCUAUCAUCUGACAAAUUAUUGAGAAAUUCUAAUUACAUGCCUAUAAUUUUCAGGUCUUUGUUUUUCAGGUCUUUGUUAAGCAUCAUGCACAUAAACGUUUGUAUUACACUUUCUUUAGCAGUAUUUGAACAUGGUACCUUAUUCAAUGUUCUGAAACAAAUCAUGAAUACUUCCUGGUGUGGUGAUAAUAUCUUCAUAAACUUGUGACACCCGAUGGAAUGUGAGUCGGUUUUGUAAUAGCCUUUAAAAACUUCCCUCAAUACAUAAUAAAGAAUGGUAAAAAAUUUUGGUUGAGGAAACUAAUGAUACAUCCAAAAUAACACAUUCAGUUUUCCAGUGAAGAAUAUUCUCAAAGUAAAAUGCUGUUUAGACUUACUUAAAGGUUCUUAAAACAAGUUAUACAAAGGGAUAGUAUUGAAAUCCAUCUUUUAAUAGAUAUAUACUAGUAAUUAUGUUGAAGACCCAGGAAAAUACUAUUAAUAGGUGUGAAAUUUAAAUCACACUAAUUAGUACUUUAAAAUAUUAUUCCUUCACGUUAUUUUAAAGAAGCUUUUCCUACAUGUGUGACCUAUUCUGUCAAACACAGCCAUGAAUAUCUAGUAUACUAAAUUGGUCCUAUUCUGACUCCAAUUUUCAAACACUUUUAACAUAGGACUAUAGAGUUCAUAUUUACAAAGUGUGUGCAUGCCUAUGUGUAUCACUAAUAUGUAGUAUAUGCAUACUAAAUAUGCACAUGGGUAUUUCAAACUCUGUUGGCUUGACUCUAAAUGUUCAGCUAUCGAUGUUAUUCUUGGUAUUUAGAGGUUUUAUUUAUAUAUUUAUCUUUCUUGACUUUCCCACUGGGAGGUGUCUUCUGAUAUUUCAGCCUCUAGCAUCUCAGUCCCAUACAUUCAGCCCUCACUGGGAAGUUUAAUUCCAGGUUACUAAUUUCAGAGCAUCCCAAAGAUGCUGUUUAGCUAGGUAGUGCCUUAAUAUAUCUUAGAAUUAAAAGAAAAUACUUUCUGUCUCUCAGGGCAUUUGAAAGCUCAAACUCUCCUCUUUGAACUUCCCUCUCUCAUUAUAUUGCCAUCACAAAUCUUUGUCCAUCACUAGGUGGUACAACUCCCCCUCCCCUCACCUGCCUCACACACAUAUGACCUACAGUGGAAAACUGAGCUCCAGAUGGUUCAUGGACUUGCCCAAAGUCACCUGUACCAUUGCUGACUUGGAACUUGAAUGUCCAAGCCUUCUAAAUCCUCAUCUGCAUUUUUCACAUUAGAGAAUUUUGAUCUCUGACUUCCAACAGUUAUUUCAGGAGAGGAAAAUGCAUGGCUUCACUAUCCAAUGGACUAAAAAAUUGAGUAAGGGAUAGAACAUAUUUUACACUCCAACUUGAAAACUUGUCGUAAUGAUGCUCUUCCAGCAUGAAGAAAUUAAAAUUGGCCUUCCUCUUCGUUCUCCUGAAUUGUUCACUGUAACUGAGUGGAGAUAUUUUAGGAGGGUUCUUACUGUGGCUUCUGAAGACCUUUUUCAGAAUAAGGUCUUUUUUUCAAAAACACCACACAAAAUACAAUACAAAAAUACAAUACAAAAAUUUUCAAAAAUACAGUAUUAGUUUGAAGCUUGGUAAGUUUUGACUAUUGCCUAUACCUAUGUAACUGCUACCUAAAACAAGAUAUAGAAAUAUUCUAACUUCCCAGAGAGAUUCUUCAUGCCCCUUUCAUUCAGUGUCAUCCCAGACCCCACAAAGGCAAUUCCUUCUGAUGGUAUGUAUGUAUUCUUUAGUGUCUGAUAUUUUUUAGAUUUAUUUAUAUUGUCAUAUGUAUCAGUAGGCCAUUCAUUUUUGUUGUUGAUGAAUAUUUCAUUGUGUGAAUAUGCUGCAAUUUGUUGAUUCAAAUACCUCCUGAUAGUUGUUUUCCGUUUGGGGCUGUUAAGAAUAAGGCUUCCAUAAAC
This 3700-nucleotide long non-coding RNA is filed under the name Homo sapiens (human). RNAcentral's name for it is "HSALNT0382820". The record is from RNAcentral. Lineage: Eukaryota; Metazoa; Chordata; Mammalia; Primates; Hominidae.